RNAcentral lists this ribosomal RNA (2017 nucleotides) under Hysteropatella prostii. Its description in RNAcentral is "eukaryotic LSU rRNA". The stretch from base 627 to 2017 matches the Rfam family "Eukaryotic large subunit ribosomal RNA", at positions 1 to 975 of the family's 3401-position model. Lineage: Eukaryota; Fungi; Ascomycota; Dothideomycetes; Patellariales. The record is from RNAcentral.
CGAUUGAAUGGCUCAGUGAGGCCUUCGGACUGGCUCAGGGAGGUCGGCAACGACCACCCAGAGCCGGAAAGUUCGUCAAACUUGGUCAUUUAGAGGAAGUAAAAGUCGUAACAAGGUUUCCGUAGGUGAACCUGCGGAAGGAUCAUUACCGAGUAAAGGGUCCUCUGGGCCCCAACUCCAACCCUCUGUCUACACUACCGACGAAGCUGCUUCGGCGGGCUUAAACCCCCCGCCGGCAGCCCAUCAAACCCUUGCUUUUUGGAUGCACUGUCUGAAUACAAACGUUAAUAAAUUAAAACUUUCAACAACGGAUCUCUUGGUUCUGGCAUCGAUGAAGAACGCAGCGAAAUGCGAUAAGUAAUGUGAAUUGCAGAAUUCAGUGAAUCAUCGAAUCUUUGAACGCACAUUGCGCCCCUUGGUAUUCCGAGGGGCAUGCCUGUUCGAGCGUCAUUUCAAACCUCAAGCACCGCUUGGUAUUGGGCGCGGUUCCCUCCUUUGGAGGGCGACCCGCCUCAAAGGCCUCGGCGGCGUCGUCCGGCUUCGAGCGUAGUGGAACUUUUAUCAGUCUCGCUUUGGAAGCUUCGGGCGGUCGCCUCGCCGCGAAAAACCAUAUUUCUCCUAUAGUUUGACCUCGGAUCAGGUAGGGAUACCCGCUGAACUUAAGCAUAUCAAUAAGCGGAGGAAAAGAAACCAACAGGGAUUGCCUCAGUAACGGCGAGUGAAGCGGCAACAGCUCAAAUUUGAAAUCUGGCCUCUUCGGGGUCCGAGUUGUAAUUUGUAGAGGAUGCUUCGGAGUCGGCUCCGGUCUAAGUGCCUUGGAACAGGACGUCACAGAGGGUGAGAAUCCCGUAUGUGGCCGGCCGCUUUCUCCAUGUGAAGCUCCUUCGACGAGUCGAGUUGUUUGGGAAUGCAGCUCUAAAUGGGAGGUAAAUUUCUUCUAAAGCUAAAUAUUGGCCAGAGACCGAUAGCGCACAAGUAGAGUGAUCGAAAGAUGAAAAGCACUUUGGAAAGAGAGUUAAAAAGUACGUGAAAUUGUUGAAAGGGAAGCGCUUGCAACCAGACUUGCCCGCGGUUGCUCAACCGGCCUUUUGGCUCGGUGCACUCUUCCGCGGUCAGGCCAGCAUCGGUUCGGGCGGUCGGAUAAAGGCCUUGGGAAUGUAGCACCCUUCGGGGUGUGUUAUAGCCCUCGGUGCAAUGCGGCCAGCCUGGACCGAGGUCCGCGCUUCGGCUAGGAUGCUGGCGUAAUGGUUGUAAGCGGCCCGUCUUGAAACACGGACCAAGGAGUCUAACAUCUAUGCGAGUGUUUGGGUGUCAAACCCAUGCGCGUAAUGAAAGUGAACGGAGGUGGGAACCCUUGGGUGCACCAUCGACCGAUCCUGAUGUCUUCGGAAGGAUUUGAGUAUGAGCAUAGCUGUUGGGACCCGAAAGAUGGUGAACUAUGCCUGAAUAGGGUGAAGCCAGAGGAAACUCUGGUGGAGGCUCGCAGCGGUUCUGACGUGCAAAUCGAUCGUCAAAUUUGGGUAUAGGGGCGAAAGACUAAUCGAACCAUUGACACAAGUCAAGCUACUAGGUGGUUUAAAGGCGACCCCAUCCCUCGCGGUGGAAGGCUCGCCUAGUCCCCACAUCCGGGGCUACACUACUAAAUUGCGGGGACGCUCUGAGGGCUCGAGACUACCGCGGCCGCCCCGAAAGGGACGGUGCAGCACCGGGGUGUACCACCCCGCGGUACGGUGAAAACGUCCGAGACUGAGCAACCGCGCAGCCAAGUCCUAACCCGGGCACCCCCCGGCACGGAUGCAGUUCACAGACUAGACGGUAGUGGGUGCGAGCGAACGCUCGCGCUUAAGAUAUAGUCGGACCCCCUCGAGAGGAGGGUUCGCGGGAGGAAGCCCUCGCGUCGGAUGCCCCUUUGACCGUCGGUCGGAGGGGGUGCGUCGGGGGCCCGAGACCCGCGAAGGGGAGGCGUCGCCACCCCGGGAUAUUCGCUAGUAGCUGGUUCCUGCCGAAGUUUCCCUCA